AAAGGAAAAAGAAACAAAAUAAUACAGCAAUAGUGAACCUAUAUCCAAAUAUACCAGAUGCCAAAACCAACGCUAAACAGAAAUACUAAGCUUCGACAAAUUAUCCAAACUCACCAUACAAAAAUAUGAUCGACCACACCAGAAGCUUGAAUGGUCCUAAAAUCUUACCAAAGACAUUUAGGUCUACUAGUUGUCUCAAGAAUACCAGACAUUUGGUGGAUCAGUAAAGAGAUAAGAACAGAAACAUUAAGGCAUUAAUGAGCGUAGUUACACAAUGAGAACCCACACAAGAAGUCAUGUCUCAAGUUCCAACCAAAAACUAUCCACAGUUAAUUUGUGAACACCUGGGGACAGCAUCCCACCCAAGUUCUUUCCCCCAAAAAAUUCAAUAAAUUAACAGAAACAUAUUACAUCUCAA
This 418-nucleotide unclassified non-coding RNA is filed under the name Hevea brasiliensis (rubber tree). The record is from RNAcentral. Lineage: Eukaryota; Viridiplantae; Streptophyta; Magnoliopsida; Malpighiales; Euphorbiaceae.